RNAcentral lists this ribosomal RNA (304 nucleotides) under uncultured bacterium. Its description in RNAcentral is "partial 16S ribosomal RNA". It matches the Rfam family "Bacterial small subunit ribosomal RNA", at positions 509 to 807 of the family's 1533-position model. The record is from RNAcentral.
CAGCAGUCGCCGCGGUAAUACGUAGAGUGCGAGCGUUAAUCGGAAUUACUGGGCGUAAAGCGUGCGCAGGCGGUUAUAUAAGACAGAUGUGAAAUCCCCGGGCUCAACCUGGGACCUGCAUUUGUGACUGUAUAGCUAGAGUACGGUAGAGGGGGAUGGAAUUCCGCGUGUAGCAGUGAAAUGCGUAGAUAUGCGGAGGAACACCGAUGGCGAAGGCAAUCCCCUGGACCUGUACUGACGCUCAUGCACGAAAGCGUGGGGAGCAAGCAGGAUUAGAGACCCCUGUAGUCCCUGUCUCUUAUAC